AUCAAGGGAUGGGAAUCGAACCCACGACCUUCCGCUUACCGACAGAUGCCAUGACCACUAGGCUACCCUGGA
RNAcentral lists this transfer RNA (72 nucleotides) under Cordylochernes scorpioides. RNAcentral describes it as "tRNA-OTHER". Lineage: Eukaryota; Metazoa; Arthropoda; Arachnida; Pseudoscorpiones; Chernetidae. The record is from RNAcentral.